This 71-nucleotide transfer RNA is filed under the name Marmota marmota marmota (Alpine marmot). It matches the Rfam family "tRNA". Rfam says of the family: Transfer RNA (tRNA) molecules are approximately 80 nucleotides in length. RNAcentral also lists the same sequence under 1 other name. The record is from Rfam by way of RNAcentral. Lineage: Eukaryota; Metazoa; Chordata; Mammalia; Rodentia; Sciuridae.
GACAAUGUAGCUCAGUGGUAGAGUGCUUGCCCAGCAUGCAUGAGGCCCUGGGUACCAUCCCCAGUAUAGCA